UGCGCUAUCAGAUGAGCCUAGGUCGGAUUAGCUAGUUGGUGAGGUAAUGGCUCACCAAGGCUACGAUCCGUAACUGGUCUGAGAGGAUGAUCAGUCACACUGGAACUGAGACACGGUCCAGACUCCUACGGGAGGCAGCAGUGGGGAAUAUUGGACAAUGGGCGAAAGCCUGAUCCAGACAGUGCCGCGUGUGUGAAGAAGGUCUUCGGAUGUAAAGUAAUUGAGUGGGAGGAAGGGCAUUACUAAUACGUUAGU
RNAcentral lists this ribosomal RNA (255 nucleotides) under uncultured bacterium. Its description in RNAcentral is "partial 16S ribosomal RNA". It matches the Rfam family "Bacterial small subunit ribosomal RNA", at positions 214 to 468 of the family's 1533-position model. The record is from RNAcentral.